UACGAGGGGGGCGAGCGUUGUUCGGAAUUAUUGGGCGUAAAGGGUGCGUAGGCGGUUCCGCAAGUCCUGUGUGAAAUCUUCGGGCUCAACUCGAAGUCUGCACGGGAAACUGCGGGGCUUGAGUGUGGGAGAGGUGAGUGGAAUUCCUGGUGUAGCGGUGAAAUGCGCAGAUAUCAGGAGGAACACCGGUGGCGAAGGCGGAUCUCUGGGCCAUUACUGACGCUGAGGAGCGAAAGCGUGGGGAGCGAACAGG
This 253-nucleotide ribosomal RNA is filed under the name uncultured bacterium. Its description in RNAcentral is "partial 16S ribosomal RNA". It matches the Rfam family "Bacterial small subunit ribosomal RNA", at positions 524 to 776 of the family's 1533-position model. The record is from RNAcentral.